UGUAGUCAAAUAGAUCGUAAAAAUGAUCCCUUUUAUAUACGUUAGAACUAUCCUUAUUUUGUGUGUAAAAUUACAAUAGGUAAAAUGAUCCCCCAUCAUGUGGCGGGUCUUGAAUGUAUUGAUUUAGAUGAUUUCAACAAUGAUUU
This is a long non-coding RNA of Chrysoperla carnea, 146 nucleotides long. RefSeq lists it as uncharacterized. Lineage: Eukaryota; Metazoa; Arthropoda; Insecta; Neuroptera; Chrysopidae. The transcript is spliced from 3 exons. The record is from RefSeq and is a predicted model, not a curated record.